This 253-nucleotide ribosomal RNA is filed under the name uncultured bacterium. RNAcentral's name for it is "partial 16S ribosomal RNA". It matches the Rfam family "Bacterial small subunit ribosomal RNA", at positions 524 to 776 of the family's 1533-position model. The record is from RNAcentral.
GACGGAGGAUGCAAGUGUUAUCCGGAAUCACUGGGCGUAAAGGGCGCGUAGGCGGUUCGCUAAGUUGAACGUGAAAACUCUGGGCUUAACCCAGAGCCUGCAUUCAAUACUGGCGAGCUAGAGUUCUGGAGGGGAUAGCGGAAUUCCUGGUGUAGCGGUGAAAUGCGUAGAUAUCAGGAGGAACACCGGUGGCGAAGGCGGCUAUCUGGACAGAGUCUGACGCUGAGGCGCGAAAGCUAGGGGAGCAAACAGG